CGGGGAGUAGCUCAGCCCGGUAGAGCACCAGUUUAGGGGACUGGGGGUCGUGGGUUCAAAUCCCGCCUCCCCGA
Molecule: transfer RNA, 74 nt
Filed under: Bacteroidota bacterium
Lineage: Bacteria; Pseudomonadati; Bacteroidota
Also listed under: 1 other name
Description: tRNA-Pro
Rfam family: tRNA
About the family: Transfer RNA (tRNA) molecules are approximately 80 nucleotides in length. Their secondary structure includes four short double-helical elements and three loops (D, anti-codon, and T loops). Further hydrogen bonds mediate the characteristic L-shaped molecular structure. tRNAs have two regions of fundamental functional importance: the anti-codon, which is responsible for specific mRNA codon recognition, and the 3' end, to which the tRNAs corresponding amino acid is attached (by aminoacyl-tRNA synthetases). tRNAs cope with the degeneracy of the genetic code in two manners: having more than one tRNA (with a specific anti-codon) for a particular amino acid; and 'wobble' base-pairing, i.e. permitting non-standard base-pairing at the 3rd anti-codon position.
Source: RNAcentral